CUCGUAGGCGGUUUGUCGCGUCGGGAGUGAAAACACCGGGCUUAACUCGGUGCUGGCUUUCGAUACGGGCAGACUAGAGGUAUUCAGGGAGAACGGAAUUCCUGGUGUAGCGGUGAAAUGCGCAGAUAUCAGGAGGAACACCGGUGGCGAAGGCGGUUCUCUGGGAAUGUCCUGACGCUGAGGAGCGAAAGUGUGGGGAGCGAACA
Molecule: ribosomal RNA, 206 nt
Filed under: uncultured bacterium
Lineage: Bacteria
Description: partial 16S ribosomal RNA
Rfam family: Bacterial small subunit ribosomal RNA
Source: RNAcentral